GACGAACGCUGGCGGCGUGCUUAACACAUGCAAGUCGAACGGUGACGAGGAGCUUGCUCCUCUGAUCAGUGGCGAACGGGUGAGUAACACGUGAGCAACCUGCCCCAGACUCUGGGAUAACAGUUGGAAACAGCUGCUAAUACCGGAUACGAGACGGAGAGGCAUCUCUACCGUCUGGAAAGUUUUUCGGUCUGGGAUGGACUCGCGGCCUAUCAGCUAGUUGGUGAGGUAAUGGCUCACCAAGGCGACGACGGGUAGCCGGUCUGAGAGGAUGUACGGCCACACUGGGACUGAGAUACGGCCCAGACUCCUACGGGAGGCAGCAGUUGGGAAUCUUAGGCAAUGGACGAAAGUCUGACCUAGCGACGCCGCGUGAGGGAAGAAGGCCUUCGGGUUGUAAACCGUCUGUCAUGGGGAAGAAGUAAGUGACGGUACCCAACGAGGAAGCCCUGCUAACUACGUGCCAGCAGCCGCGGUAACAUACUCGUA
Molecule: ribosomal RNA, 489 nt
Filed under: uncultured bacterium
Lineage: Bacteria
Description: bacterial SSU rRNA
Rfam family: Bacterial small subunit ribosomal RNA
Source: RNAcentral